AGCAUCUCCAAUUGUGAUGUAAAAUUGGGUGUAAAUUGAUAUCUUUAAAAUCACUUUUGCAUCCUCAUUUACAUUUUGAUGUAUCUAAAUUCAAAUUUUGCUCAAAUUGGAAGAUCUAAAUCCACUUUUUGCCUUUCAUGGAUGAAAAAAGAUAUAAAUUUACAUCUGUUUUUACAUUUUUUGUUGAAAAAUACAAUUUUCAUUUCAAAAGAUAGGGGCGAAAUGGGGGCUAAGAACUCUUGGAAAGUGACACAUGCCUUCUUAUGGGAAUGCAAGAGAGUUUCACAUUGCUAUUGUAGAUCUUGAAAAAUUAACGCUUCGAGCUCUUCUGUCUCCAGUGCAGCACGUUGACUUUCCUUGAUUCUAUUCAGUUGAUUGGUUGAGCCUCUCAGUUGACAUUAUCAUAUGUAGAGUAAGCAAUAAUGAGAUAAGCACUUAUUUAGUUGGAAAGUAUGUCUAUGGAGGAUACCCAAGUCAAACGCUGCUCAACUCUUCUCUUUGGUAAAAGCUAACAUAGCAUAAUAAAAUAGGAUAAUAGACAGCGAAAGCAUAACUAUAUUGACAUUUUGAACAAAAAUUCAUCUUGAUUAAAUCUAGCUAAUCUAUAUAAUCUCAUCAUGACAUUGACAUCAAUCACUUAAUUUUCUAGUUGAUCCAAGAAUUGAAAAACAAAAACCAUAAAAGAUAUUGAAUCCUAAUAUUAACUAAAGUAAGGUGAUCCUAUAUCCCCAUAUCUAUUUAUUAUCAUGGAAGAGGUGUUGACUAGCCUAAUGAGAAAAAAAUUCGUAGAUGGUUGCAUAGGUGCUUAUUCACAUCCCUGAGGUGCACCUUCGGUGUUGCAUUUGCUAUAUGCUAAUGAUAUUGUAAUCUUUGCUAAUGGAAGUAAAAGAUCGAUAAAUUCUUUAAUGGAGACCUUUCAGUUAUGUGAAAAAUGGACAGGUCUGGUUAUCAAUAAAGAGAAGAUAGCUAUUUUCUUUACUAAAAAUUAUGGGGGCAUCUCACAAGAACGAGGUUCUUCGGUUAAGUUCUUUCUGAGAGGGAUUUUUUAACUUAUUUGGGGUGCCAGUGGUGGUAGGAAGAUUGACUACUCGUCAUCUACAGCUUUUAGUGGAGAAAAUUUAGAAAAAAAUUACAGGUUAGAAAAGCCAACUUUUAUCACAAAGAUGUCGUCUUGUGUUAUUGAGACAUGUUUUGUCAUGUAUGGCAACCCAUUUAUUAUCCGUUCUAAGUAUUCCUAAAUCGGUGUUUAGGUCCUUAAAUUCCAUAUUAUCUUCUUUCUUUUGGGGAGAGAUUAAUGGAAGAAAUAGGAAAAAAUGGCGCUCAUGGAAGAAAACUUGUACACCACUGAUGGAGGGAGGCCUUGGGAUUUGUAGGUUUGAAGAAAUUCAAAAGUCUCUCCACAUGAAAUUUGCUUAAAAUGUGCUUACUGUUGAUUCGUUGUGGACCUGAUUUUUCAAAUCAAAAUAUGUACCAAAGGGUUUGGUGGAUGUAGAAAACCUAGGUCAUAUGGGCUCAAGGUUUGGAAAUCUGUGGUAGAUUGUUUCCCUGAUGCGGUUGCUAAUAGACAAUGAAAGAUUAGGGAAGGAAAAUAUCUCUUGGUAUGAUAAAUGUUUAGAAGAGGGCCCACAUUGCCAAAGAGUAGACAGAUUGUUCAACCUAGUUUGAAGGUUUAUGAAAUCUACUUGGAAAUUGCUUGGGAUAUUGAUAGUUUGGGUCAGUUAGUAGGGAUCAACAUGGCAACAAGCAUAAUGAAAAAAGUACAAGGUCAAAAAUCUGGAAAGGAUAUUCUCAUAUGGAGACCAAAUGUACAAGGAAGAUUCUCAACCAAAAAUUCUUGGGAUAUGAUUUAAGUGAGGGCUUCCACAGUGGAGUGUGUGCAAUGGGUGUGGCAUAAUGCCCUUCCUAAAAGGGCUUUAGUUGUGAUAUGGAAAGCCCUGUCGGGAAGGCUUAGUUUUGAUGAUAAGAUUUAUCAGGUUGGAGUGGCUAUGGUGUCUCCUCUAUUCUUGGUGUUAGGUGGUUUGAGAAGCAAGCAUGGUGGGAUAGGAUGCAAAUUUGGUGGGAUAGAGACAAUAGGUCCUCUCAAUUAGGAUGUUUACAAGGGGUAAUACCAUGUUUAGCAACUUGGAGACUUUGGAUUCGAAGAUGUAGAGCAAAGAUGGAGGGCCUUAAUGAAUCAGUUGAAGAUGUUUUGUCCAUUAAAUCUUGGCUGCAACAAUUGGCAAAUAAUGUUACAAAGACAAAACUAUUGACGUGUGAGGAGGAAAAUAUCCUAAAAGUUAUGGGCAUUCCUUGUGUGGUAAGGAAACUAUUACCUGCAUGCUUGGUGACCUGGAAAAAACCAAUGGCUGGGAAAGUAAAGAUCAAUGUAGAUGGGAGUAGUUUGGGAAACAUAGGAUAGGCAGUUAGAGGGGGAGUGAUACACAAUGAUAAAUUAAUGGUGCUAGUGGUGUUUGCAACUAAUUUUGGGAUAGCGUCGAAUAACGAAGCUGAGCUGAGAGCUAUUAUUGAGGGGCCUAAACUUUCCCAACGUAUAGGCAUUUUUUAGGUUGAUAUUGAAUGUGAUUCCAAAAUUGUUGUGGAAUGGAUAUUGAAAUGCAAGUGCACAAUUUGGUAUUUGUGGGAUUUUUGGGAGGAAUAAUGAGUUUAUUUGAGAUACAGGUUUCAUACCAGUUUAGGGAAGCAAAUAAAGUGGUGGAUUCAUUAGCAAAAAUGGGGGCAUAAGGUGUGAUGCAGCAUUUUACAUCUACUAAUGACUUGCCUGUGCAUGCUCGUGGCUUUGUUCGAUUGGACUGUAUAG
RNAcentral lists this long non-coding RNA (2797 nucleotides) under Olea europaea subsp. europaea. Lineage: Eukaryota; Viridiplantae; Streptophyta; Magnoliopsida; Lamiales; Oleaceae. The record is from RNAcentral.